Molecule: ribosomal RNA, 253 nt
Filed under: uncultured prokaryote
Description: partial 16S ribosomal RNA
Rfam family: Bacterial small subunit ribosomal RNA
Source: RNAcentral
ACGAACCGUCCUAACGUUGUUCGGAUUCACUGGGCUUAAAGGGCGCGUAGGCGGAUUCGAAAGUCCGGGGUGAAAUCUUUGGGCUCAACCGGAAAAGUGCCUUGGAAACUACGAGUCUCGAGGGGGGUAGGGGCCUGUGGAACUUCGGGUGGAGCGGUGAAAUGCGUUGAUAUCCGAAGGAACGCCGGUGGCGAAAGCGACGGGCUGGACCCCUUCUGACGCUGAGGCGCGAAAGCCAGGGGAGCAAACGGGA